This 541-nucleotide unclassified non-coding RNA is filed under the name Hevea brasiliensis (rubber tree). Lineage: Eukaryota; Viridiplantae; Streptophyta; Magnoliopsida; Malpighiales; Euphorbiaceae. The record is from RNAcentral.
GGAAUCCCCCGUUAACCAGGUGUCCAAGUUUUAUGACCUUGCAGGUGGAGGGCCGAUCUUUGAAGACUGCCAUUUCUCUGCUUGUGUCUCAUCCAGCUAAAGGCAUGAGAAAUCUGAACUUCAAUCGUUGGUUUCAUAUGAGGUAUGGUGCGAGUGAGACACUGGAUGAUCUAAGUCUUCGUCGCCCAUUGUGAAUGGACGUGCGAUUGCUGCUUCGCUAGAACCACGAUCUCUGGUUUUGUUAGGCUCCCAUGGCUUUGAUCUCUCUUGUUCCCUAUGUCCCUAGUGUCGGUAGAUUCUUGGUGCAACUCUCUGGGUUUAGCUUUGUAGAAUGGCUGUUAUCUUUCUAUAUGGCCAAAUUGAAUGGUCUGUUUUGGUCGGCGAUUUGGUAGUAGCUGCUUGUGUGAUUCCGGGUUGAUGAUUCGGGUGAAGGAUCCAGCACGUAGUCUGGGUUUAGUUUAGGCUUGGAAAUUUGGGUCUUUUUCUUAUGGACUAAGACAAUAAGAUAAAGCUAGGGUUUUUAUUUUUUAUUUUUUAGGCU